UACGUAGGGGGCAAGCGUUGUCCGGAAUCAUUGGGCGUAAAGCGCGUGUAGGCGGCUCGAUAAGUCUGCUGUGAAAGUCCAGGGCUCAACCCUGGGAUGCCGGUGGAUACUGUCGAGCUCGAGUCCGGAAGAGGUGUGUGGAAUUCCUGGUGUAGCGGUGAAAUGCGUAGAUAUCUGGAGGAACACCGGUGGCGAAGGCGGCAUCCUGGACCGGCAUUGACGCUGAGGCGCGAAAGCCAGGGGAGCAAACAGG
This 253-nucleotide ribosomal RNA is filed under the name uncultured bacterium. RNAcentral's name for it is "partial 16S ribosomal RNA". It matches the Rfam family "Bacterial small subunit ribosomal RNA", at positions 524 to 776 of the family's 1533-position model. The record is from RNAcentral.